RNAcentral lists this long non-coding RNA (204 nucleotides) under Brassica napus (rape). RNAcentral's name for it is "long non-coding RNA (BNAP_LNC012601)". Lineage: Eukaryota; Viridiplantae; Streptophyta; Magnoliopsida; Brassicales; Brassicaceae. The record is from RNAcentral.
UCGGGUGCUCUCUCUCUUUGGUUGAUGGUCUCUGGUCCGGAAGUUCCCUCACUUCCUCUCAGUCCCACCGCUGCUACAACGUCUCUCCCAGAUCUGCUCCCGACGGCGCCUGAGAAGACCUAUGCCUCCUUAGUCUGCGGUCUUGAAACCAUUAGAGUCAUAUCUGAAACCAGUGCCUGUCGGAGAGCUCACCCAGACACCUCC